This 447-nucleotide ribosomal RNA is filed under the name uncultured bacterium. RNAcentral describes it as "bacterial SSU rRNA". It matches the Rfam family "Bacterial small subunit ribosomal RNA", at positions 329 to 793 of the family's 1533-position model. The record is from RNAcentral.
UUCCAGACUCCUACGGGAGGCAGCAGUGGGGAAUAUUGCACAAUGGGGGAAACCCUGAUGCAGCGACGCCGCGUGAGCGAUGAAGUAUUUCGGUAUGUAAAGCUCUAUCAGCAGGGAAGAAGAUGACGGUACCUGACUAAGAAGCCCCGGCUAACUACGUGCCAGCAGCCGCGGUAAUACGUAGGGGGCAAGCGUUAUCCGGAUUUACUGGGUGUAAAGGGAGCGUAGACGGCGAUGCAAGCCAGAUGUGAAAGCCCGGGGCUCAACCCCGGGACUGCAUUUGGAACUGUGUGGCUGGAGUGUCGGAGAGGCAGGCGGAAUUCCUAGUGUAGCGGUGAAAUGCGUAGAUAUUAGGAGGAACACCAGUGGCGAAGGCGGCCUGCUGGACGAUGACUGACGUUGAGGCUCGAAAGCGUGGGGAGCAAACAGGAUUAGAUACCCCUGUAC